Molecule: transfer RNA, 73 nt
Filed under: Dufourea novaeangliae
Lineage: Eukaryota; Metazoa; Arthropoda; Insecta; Hymenoptera; Halictidae
Rfam family: tRNA
About the family: Transfer RNA (tRNA) molecules are approximately 80 nucleotides in length.
Source: Rfam by way of RNAcentral
GGCUCCGUGGAGCAGAAUGUAGAUUCUCGGCUUUCGGCGCCGAGGUUCGUGGGUUCGAAUCCCGCUUGGGUCC